UCAUCACAUGGGUGACCCUUCCCUCAUCCUUCUUUGGAGCGCAGAUUAGGACAUGAUUGGAGUUUGCAUGAUGGGUGAUUAAUACAAUAGGUCUGCACAAUUGGUCCAUGCCCUGAUUGCUCCUGUUUGAA
Molecule: small nucleolar RNA, 131 nt
Filed under: Chinchilla lanigera (long-tailed chinchilla)
Lineage: Eukaryota; Metazoa; Chordata; Mammalia; Rodentia; Chinchillidae
Description: U8 small nucleolar RNA (ENSCLAG00000020496.1)
Rfam family: U8 small nucleolar RNA
About the family: U8 is a member of the C/D class of snoRNA which contain the C (UGAUGA) and D (CUGA) box motifs. U8 is the RNA component of a small complex (the U8 snoRNP) which is required for accumulation of mature large subunit ribosomal RNAs, 5.8S and 28S rRNAs.
Source: Rfam by way of RNAcentral